UCCAAACAUGCAUAUUUUUCAACCAAAGCAUGCAUACAAGUUCCUAGGGGCCUCAAACAAACAUAUACCCCAUCUACAACACUUCAAACACACAUAAACAACACACAUUGCUCAAAACAUCAAUAUAUACCCAUAACAUCAACAUAUACCCUAUCAUGCAUUUCUACCCUUAGAUCUUGCAUAAAACUUAUUUAGAACACAUAAUAAGGGUGGAUCCGAGCUUACCUCUUGAAGAAAUGAGAGGGAAGACGAUCCUAGCUUGGAGAUGAAGAGAUUGAGCUCCUUGAACCUCCAAGCACCCAAAACUUACUCUUUG
RNAcentral lists this long non-coding RNA (316 nucleotides) under Manihot esculenta (cassava). RNAcentral's name for it is "long non-coding RNA (MESC_LNC009565)". Lineage: Eukaryota; Viridiplantae; Streptophyta; Magnoliopsida; Malpighiales; Euphorbiaceae. The record is from RNAcentral.